UUUAAAUAAAAUAAACAUGUAUAUGCAGCACAAAAUAUUUAUAUUCCUUGUGUAAACAUAAUUUAAUUGAUUAGGAUUAAAAUGUUUUGUUUGAAUGUAAAAUGAACACAUUAUUCUCACAUUGAUUAACAUUGAUUGAAUUGAAUACUUAAAGCAAUAAAAUUGGGUUUGCACACAAAACGGCACCUCCUGAGCAGCAGGGGCAGUAUAGCUCAAUGAGAAGGACAUCGAUUGCCAUAAAAGAAGAAUAAAGAUCGUUUGUUUUGGGCGCCAAAAUGAAGACUCAGCAGCAGUCAGUCAGUCAGUCAGUCAGUCAGUCAGUCAGUCAGUCAGUCAGUCAGAAGAACUCUCUCAGACGGACACCACGUUAUUAAAGUCCAUCAUCCUUGCAUGCGCUACACAGCAUUGAUAAAUGCUGAAUUUAAAAGAAUCACUACUGUCUAAUGUUCCUGUGUCACCUGGACCUCCAAUCCAAAAACCUGAUGAAACUCUUCUAUCAGAAAGGAGGACAGCUAGCAAAAAGACUUCAAACAAUUAAUGAUCAAAUGACAGAAGGCAUGGAUGAAGUUAGCAUCAGUGAGGUCAUUUGAAGACACCAAUGUUGGGAUUUGUGCUCUCAAACAACAUGCUUCUUGUGAUGAAGAAGAGGAUCUUUGUAUAGUCCUGGAAGCCAUGAAGGUGUUGCAACAUCGUGUUUGAGCUGAUGUAUGCCUUAAACCUGAUCUCCGCUUUAUUUUUGAGGAAAUCCAAACUGCAUUGAGAGUAACUUUAACGAACAGUUUCUUUCAGUGAAAGGAUCAGAAAGACUGUGCUGCUCAUUUUUGACUUUUUUUAUCUGUUUUAAGUGUUUUCUCUUAUUAAUACAUUAACAGUUUGCUGCUCAGAGUUGAUUUUGGAAAUGGUUGUUGUAUUUUGUUUUUGUUGAAUCUUUGAUUAACAGUUUAUAAAUGCCGUAGCUCUGACUUUCUGAAGGAGUGAUAUUUACCAGUUUGUAAAUCCAUUUAAAAAAUAAUAGUACUUAUUGUUUUGCAUGUCUCUUUGGAAUGCAGUGUUUGUGCUUUAGCACUUCUAAAUCUACUGUGAUAGUAACUAUUUUAAACAUUUGGGUCAGUUUCACAGAUGGGGCUUUUCCUAGUCCCAGACUUUUGCAAUGCCUUAAUUUGAAAACAUAUUGCACUGACAUAUAUCAGUGCCAUUGUUUUGUCUAAAGAUGUACUCCAGGGUUGUUUUUGUAAGGUAGGUUUCUUUGUAAACUUUAUUUUUGUAAAAAUAUCCUAAUAUAACUAGGGCCUAGUCAUGGAUUAAUCUACAACCUGUUUGGGAAAUUGCCCCUUUAUGUAUGUACUGCAUGUGCUGAUUGUUGUAAUAGUUAUUGACUGUUAUUGAAUUAAUGUGUAGUGAUUUAAAUGAAUUGAUGAUCUGAAAGCAGUGGUUUGCCUAAAUAUCACUAAACAUUUGUACAAAACUCUUUGCUUUUUAUGCCAAUGCAAAUGUAUUUUGUAUUUAAAAAAGAAAUAAAUAACAUUUGGAUAA
Non-coding RNA from Misgurnus anguillicaudatus (oriental weatherfish), 1533 nucleotides. Lineage: Eukaryota; Metazoa; Chordata; Actinopteri; Cypriniformes; Cobitidae. The record is from RefSeq and is a predicted model, not a curated record.